AAAAUCCGUCGACUUUAGAAAUCGUGAGGGUUCA
RNAcentral lists this transfer RNA (34 nucleotides) under Taihangia rupestris. RNAcentral's name for it is "Geum rupestre partial tRNA-Leu". The record is from RNAcentral. RNAcentral also lists the same sequence under 8 other names. Lineage: Eukaryota; Viridiplantae; Streptophyta; Magnoliopsida; Rosales; Rosaceae.